Molecule: ribosomal RNA, 262 nt
Filed under: uncultured bacterium
Lineage: Bacteria
Description: partial 16S ribosomal RNA
Rfam family: Bacterial small subunit ribosomal RNA
Source: RNAcentral
AGCGAACGCUGGCGGCAGGCUUAACACAUGCAAGUCGAGCGGGCGUAGCAAUACGUCAGCGGCAGACGGGUGAGUAACGCGUGGGAACAUACCUUUUGGUUCGGAACAACACAGGGGAAAACUUGUGCUAAUACCGGAUAAGCCCUUACGGGGAAAGAUUUAUCGCCGAAAGAUUGGCCCGCGUCUGAUUAGCUAGUUGGUGAGGUAACGGCUCACCAAGGCGACGAUCAGGUAGCGGUCUGAGAGGAUGAUCAGCCACAUU